This 1127-nucleotide long non-coding RNA is filed under the name Homo sapiens (human). RNAcentral describes it as "HSALNT0301590". The record is from RNAcentral. Lineage: Eukaryota; Metazoa; Chordata; Mammalia; Primates; Hominidae.
UUGUCAGUGUGCCCUGGCUCUCCUGCUUCUCAGAACCAAACAGGCCCGGGAAGCUCCUGCCACCAGCUAAUAUAUCCUUGUUUCUUCUGUUGUAAAUGAAGAUUGAGGAUUUGCACUUCAGAGUGUGCCCUUCUCUCUGAGCGGGAUAUUUGCUGCCGCCGGGUGUGUGUGCGUGUGCGUGUGUGUGUAAGAUAUUUGCUGCCGCCUGGUGUGUGUGUAUGUGUGUUUUGAGGCAAAGCCUCACUCUAGGCUGGGGUGCAGUGGUGUGAUCUUGGCUCACUUGCAACCUCUGCCUCCUGGGUUCAAGCGAUUCUCCUGCCUCAGCCUCCUGAGUAACUGGGAUUACAAGUGCGUGCUGCCAUGCCUAGCUAAUUUUUGUAUUUUUACUAGAGAUGGGGUUUCACCAUGUUGACCAGGCUGGUCUUGAACUCCUGGCCUCUAGUGAUCCACCCACCUUGGCCUCCCAAAGUGCUGGGAUUACAGGCAUGAGCCACCGCACCCGGCCUAUACUCCAUAUUUAAAUCUUUCCAGUUGUCCCCCAAAUACCUGCUUUACUUUCCUUUUCUUUUUUUUUUUUUUUUAAUCCAGACAGUGUGUCGCUCUGUUGCCCAGGCUGGAGUGCAGUGGUACAAUCAUAGCUCGCUGCAGCCUUGAACUCCGGUGUUUAAGUAGUCUUCCUGCCUCAGCCUCUCAAAUCACUGGGACCAUAGGCGUGAGCCACUGCUUUCUUCAAAAUUUGACCCAGAAUCCAAUCAAGGGUGACAGUGAUCAUCAGACCUACAAAAUGAAGGAAUCUUAAGAAAGAUGGCUUAACCCAGUCAGAAGGGACAAGCAUAAUUUUCUUCCAUGGCUAUUUAAAGCCAACUGGGAGCCGGGAUGGGAAACUACUAAAGUUUGAUGCACCAGACUUUGGCCUGAUGCGCUCUCAGCAAAAUGUACAGAGGAGAUGGCCACUUGGUCUUUGGGAGCCCCUGGCUCUCUCUUUUUAAUGACACUAGCUGCUCUUAGCGCCCACUACAGGAAAUGAAGCAAUGGAAGAAGCGCACCUCAUGUGAAAGCAUUUGGAUUUUGCUAGGCUAUUUUCUGAGUAGUAUUUGUCCCGUGGAAAAAUACAGAAGAGGAAAUGA